Dicentrarchus labrax (European seabass) is the source of this 6010-nucleotide long non-coding RNA. RefSeq lists it as uncharacterized. Lineage: Eukaryota; Metazoa; Chordata; Actinopteri; Moronidae. The record is from RefSeq and is a predicted model, not a curated record. The transcript is spliced from 2 exons.
UGCAGCCUGCAGGCAACGCAUAGGGAUUACACAGCCGGAGGGUUACAGAGAACCAACCAGAGAACAGAGUGGAGAACCAACCAGAGAACAGAGUGGAGAACCAACCAGAAAACAGAGUGGAGAACCAACCAGAGAACAGAGUGGAGAACCAACCAGAAAACAGAGUGGAGAACCAACCAGAGAACAGAGUGGAGAACCAACCAGAAAACAGAGUGGAGAACCAACCAGAGAACAGAGUGGAGAACCAACCAGAAAACAGAGUGGAGAACCAAUCAGAGAACAGAGUGGAGAACCAACCAGAAAACAGAAUGAAGAACCAACCAGAGAACAGAGUGGAGAACCACCCAGAAAACAGAGUGGAGAACCAGAGAACAGAGUGGAGAACCAACCAGAGAACAGAGUGGAGAACCAACCAGAAAACAGAGUGGAGAACUAAUCAGAGAACAGAGUGGAGAACCAGAGAACAGAGUGGAGAACUAAUCAGAGAACAGAGUGGAGAACCAACCAGAGAACAGAGUGGAGAACUUAUCAGAGAACAGAGUGGAGAACUAAUCAGAGAACAGAGUGGAGAACCAGAGAACAGAGUGGAGAACUAAUCAGAGAACAGAGUGGAGAACCAGAGAACAGAGUGGAGAACCAACCAGAAAACAGAGUGGAGAACCAGAGAACAGAGUGGAGAACUAAUCAGAGAACAGAGUGGAGAACCAGAGAACAGAGUGGAGAACCAACCAGAGAACAGAGUGGAGAACUAAUCAGAGAACAGAGUGGAGAACCAGAGAACAGAGUGGAGAACCAACCAGAGAACAGAGUGGAGAACCAACCAGAGAACAAAGUGGAGAACUAAUCAGAGAACAGAGUGGAGAACCAGAGAACAGAGUGGAGAACCAACCAGAGAACAAAGUGGAGAACUAAUCAGAGAACAGAGUGGAGAACCAGAGAACAGAGUGGAGAACCAACCAGAAAACAGAGUGGAGAACCAGAGAACAAUGUGGAGAACUAAUCAGAGAACAGAGUGGAGAACCAGAGAACAGAGUGGAGAACCAACCAGAAAACAGAGUGGAGAACCAGAGAACAAUGUGGAGAACUAAUCAGAGAACAGAGUGGAGAACCAACCAGAGAACAGAGUGGAGAACUAAUCAGAGAACAGAGUGGAGAACCAGAGAACAGAGUGGAGAACCAACCAGAGAACAGAGUGGAGAACUAAUCAGAGAACAGAGUGGAGAACUUAUCAGAGAACAGAGUGGAGAACCAGAGAACAGAGUGGAGAACCAAAGAGAACAGAGUGGAGAACCAACCAGAGAACAGAGUGGAGAACCAGAGAACAGAGUGGAGAACCAACCAGAGAACAGAGUGGAGAACUAAUCAGAGAACAGAGUGGAGAACCAGAGAACAGAGUGGAGAACCAACCAGAGAACAGAGUGGAGAACCAACCAGAGAACAGAGUGGAGAACCAGAGAACAGAGUGGAGAACCAACCAGAAAACAGAGUGGAGAACCAGAGAACAAUGUGGAGAACUAAUCAGAGAACAGAGUGGAGAACCAGAGAACAGAGUGGAGAACCAACCAGAGAACAGAGUGGAGAACUAAUCAGAGAACAGAGUGGAGAACCAGAGAACAGAGUGGAGAACCAACCAGAGAACAAUGUGGAGAACUAAUCAGAGAACAGAGUGGAGAACCAGAGAACAGAGUGGAGAACUAAUCAGAGAACAGAGUGGAGAACCAGAGAACAGAGUGGAGAACUAAUCAGAGAACAGAGUGGAGAACAGAGUGGAGAACAGAGUGGAGAACCAGAGAACAGACAUAUGGGGACACUGAACCUGACUGUACACAGGGUUACAGGGACAUUGUCAGUUCAUGAGUCACCAGAUGGGUACUGGUUAUACAGGUUAAAUGUUACUGGUUAUACUGGUUACUACUGGUUACUACUGGUUACUACUGGUUAUACAGGUUAAAUGUUACUGGUUAUACUGGUUACUACUGGUUAUACAGGUUAAAUGUUACUGGUUAUACAGGUUAAAUGUUACUGGUUAUACUGGUUACUACUGGUUAUACAGGUUAAAUGUUACUGGUUAUACUGGUUAAAUAUUACUGGUUAUAGUGGUAAUAUUUGCUAUACUGGUGACAUCAGUGACACUGGUUACAUUACUGUAAUUGGUGAUACUGGUCAUACUAGUUAUAUGUAUGUUACUGGUAAUACUGGGUUGCUCCAAGCGGUCUCACCCUGCGGCGCCCUGGUCAGGUACGUCCAUGAAGCCCAUGUCGUGAUGUUGGGGGGCUCGGUUGUCGUGGCGAUGCUGGCUCUGGAAUCGGGGCAGGGUGGGCUGCUCCAUGCUGGACUGCUGCCUCAGCAGGGAACCUCUGGAGGAGGUGGAGCCUCCUCUGGGAGCUCCGCCUCCUCUGGAGCGAGGAGCUGAAAGAGAAUUAAAACUAUAAAGCAAUAGUUGCUGUGAUGAGGGCAGCCUGACAACUGAAACCGGAUCCUCUACCUGAGCUGUACUGGCCGGUGGGCGGAGCCUGGUUGCCCAUGUACCGACUCUUGCGGUUGUCCCUCCUCGUCGGUCCUACCGAUCAAACACACAGGAAGUGAGGCAGAGUACGCAGGAAGUUGUGCAUUUGUGGUGAGUCCAGUUAGAACCUACUGGAGUUUUUGGGCAGACCCGGUCCGAUGGAGACCUGCAGGACCUUCCCACUGGGCUUCAGGACGGCCUCGUCCCCCUGACCCGCCUGGAACUGGAUCUGUCUGGAACCUGAAGAGCUGAACGGACCCCAGCCGCCCUUCUUCACCUUAAACUCCAGACUGGAGGCGAGACCGACAGCAAGACAGAGAGACAGACAGAGAGAGACACAGACACAGAGAGAGAGACAGACACAGACAGAGAGAGAGACAGACAGACAGAGAGAGAGGGAUAGAGAGAGACAGACACAGACAGAGAGAGAGACAGACAGCAAGACAGAGAGACAGACACAGACAGACAGACACAGAGAGACAAACAGAGAGAAACACACAGAGAGACAGACACAGACAGAGAGACAGAGAGAAACAGACACAGAGAGACAGACACAGACAGAGAGGGAUAGAGAGAGACAGAGAGACAGACACAGAGAGAGACAGACACAGAGAGAGAGACAGACAGCAAGACAGAGAGACAGACACAGAGAGAGAAACAGACACAGACAGAGAGGGAUAGACACAGAGAGACAGACAGGGAGAGAGAGAGAGGGAGAGACACAGAGAGACAGACAGGGAGAGAGAGAGAGGGAUAGACACAGAGAGACAGACAGGGAGAGAGAGAGAGGGAUAGACACAGAGAGACAGACAGGGAGAGAGAGAGAGAGGGAUAGAGAGAGAAACAGACACAGAGAGACAGACACAGACAGAGAGAGAGGGAUAGAGAGAGACAGAGAGAGAGGGAUAGAGAGAGACAGACACAGAGGGACAGACAGAGAGAGAGGGACAGACAGAGAGAGAGGGACAGACAGAGAGAGAGAUAUUGAUUGGCAUUGACCGCAGCCAAUAGCAGCUACCGCUAUAUGCUAGCAUCAGCGUCGACCGUCCAGUGAACACAACCUCUAAGACCAACGGUGCCGGGCUAACAGCAGUUAGCGGUUAGCUACUGAUCAAUCUGUCAAUCAGGAAACUCUGUAAAUGACCUCGGUACUGUAACGUUAUUCCUUGUUGGUCUCGGAGGCUGUGUUCGAUCCCGGUCCGGCUGCUGAGUCCGGUUCUGUUGCACAGAAGAUACAAUAACAUGCAGUUAAUUAGCAGUUACCUACUUUAGCUAAAGCUAUCUGUCCAUCAGGAAACUCUGUGAAUCACAGAGAGUUGAACAGUUGAAACCAGGAAAUAUUUUCUCCACAAAAUCUGAUUCAGAAUUAAUAGCUCAUUACCUUGUGUUUUGCUAUAGCGAAAAAUGAUUGCUACAACUUGCUACAUAGUGAAAUGCUCAGAAGAGAGAAAGCAUUUGAUCGGACGAUAAAUUAGUAUACUGGAGGAUAGGAGACUUUGAAUUCAUAGAGACUUUAAAUCAAACAUUACAUGAAGGCAGCAGAGAGAAUAAAGUACUGACAGGUUGUUGAAUUUGAGCGGAAGUUUCUUCUCAGUUUUCUCCUGAUAACGUUUGACCAGCAGACUGAGGAACUCUGUUUUAAAGACGCUCUGAAGAACGCUGUCGUACUCCUCCUCGUGGAUGAUGAAGAAGUCGUCCUGCAGAGUACUGACAGAGAGACAGGUAGCGAAGUAAACAAAAUGAAACAAUUAAAGUACUUUUAACUCCUUCAUCUCUUCAGAUAGUUUUCUCCUCUAAUACAGGAAAUAAUGUAAGUGUCUCUACAUGUUCUGGUCCUGGUUCUAGUUCUUGAUCUGGUUCUGGUUCUAGACCAGUUUCUGGUGUACCUCAGGGAAACAGACUGGAUCUUGGUGAGUUCGAUCUUCCUCUUGAGAACCUCCUGGAUUUGGCCUUUAUCUGGACCCUGCUUCACCUUCUCUCGGCCAAUCAGGUAAAGGAACUUCGGGGUCAGGAUGAGGUCACGCUUCACGGUCUGUGGAACAGGAAGUUGAGACAAGAAGUGGAGACAGGAAGUGGAUGUCACUGACAGGUAGACUGUCAGAUCAGCUGUGGGUUGUUUUUACCCUGAAUCUUCGGUCGAAUUUCAUCACAACGUCGGCAAAGUCGAUCCUCUCUCGGCGGCCGACAAACUGUCUGAUCUCUGGGUGGUUGUCUGUCCCAAUGUAGUCGCCCACAAAGUUCCUGUUGAUGCUGUUCCUGCGGCGAUCCUUCUUGUUCAAAAGAACAUCUGAGGCUGGAAACAGAUUGAGGAAGACAUCACGUCCAAGACGCAAACAUGAGAAAGUGGUGCUUUCUUAGCGGGCGAUCACACAGACACGCAUCGCUUCAAGCCAGAGAGCUAACGUUAUGCUACGAGCCAGAGAGCUAAUGUUACGCACGUCUAAAAGCUGCUAGAAAAAUGCGUUGUACCGAUGCAUCUCUAUGUGAUCGUCCCUUUAUCUCACUCCUGGACAUCGGUCUUACCUUCCUCCCUCAUCUUGACGUACUUGCGGACGGCGAUGUGUUUACGCCAUGCCUUCUGAAUGACCCGAGCGUAACCGUUGUACUUCCUCUCCCUCAUCUCCUCCAACAGGAAGAGCUGCAGAGGAAAACUGAGUAAAUUGAGGGCUUCUGGGAACUGCAGUACCCAGAAUGCCACUGUACAGGAAAUUUCAGGAGCUUCUGAAAAUGCCCGUGAUAUAACCAUAGCAACGAAUGCUGAGGCUUAUGGGUACUCAUUCCGCAGACCUGAAACCAGACCGUACCCCUACAGUCUGUGGUUACGGGUUAGGAACUCUACUAACAGGAAACUUUACUUCUAAAGUUUACAGCUAGAUGAACCACUUCCUGAGUGUUUCGUACCGACUCUGGAGCUUUGAUGAAUAUUUUGUUCUUGCCCAGCUGGAACUGGUCCUGGUCCAUGUUGACAGAGUUGAGGAGGUGCAGGACUCCCUGGCGCUGCUCGCCCCUCCACUGAGGCCAGGUGUCCUUGGUCAGGAUGGCGUACCUGCAGCACAAAAUCUCUGUUAGCGUCUCUGAAGCAGCAGUACAGACUACAUGAUGUUACCCUGUUUGACCUCCUACCUCUGCAGGAACUUGUUGAAGACCCGUCUGUAGGCGUAUCCAGCCCGGCGGACUCUGAUGUUCUCUCGGAGGCCCAGGUACUCCACCUGGUGUCUGACCCGGUUCUCCUCCCAAUCCCGGGGACGUUUGGUCUCGUUGGGUUUGAUGCAGCGGAUGUAGUGAGGAGUGCACUUCAUCAGAGUCUGGACCAGACUGUUGGCUUGUUUCUAGAAGGGAGGGAGGACGGGCGGUUACCUCCCAGCUGUGAGACCCUGCAGGGUUUCAGUGUGUGAUCAUGUUUCUAUCUGUGGAGGCUGACGAAACCAGCAAUCAGAUGUUUUAGACUCUCUCAGUCUGUAAAUGUUGUGACUUGUUCCUACAAUAUAAAUUAUUACUGUGAAA